UGUAAUCACCUAUCCCUCUCAUCCAUAGUCUAUAGGCUCUCACUCUCACUCUCACUCUCACUCACACUCUCAAUCUCUCUCUCUCUCUCUCUCUCUCUCUUUCUGGAAUGUCUCUCUCAGUCUCUCGAAUUCUCUCUUCUUCAAUCACACUCGCCGGCGUCUCGUCGUGGUUCGUAUGUCGCUUCCUUCCCUUGGCUCGUCGUCGCCGGCGCAGAAGCAACGCAACCAGCAGCUGGCCCUCGCCGUCUUCUUCCUUCGUCGCCUUCCCUGGGCUCGUCCUCGCUCGUCAUCUUUUGGCUUCGGGGCCUCGCUGUCGCUUCCUUCUUGCCGGUCUCGUGCCGAGUCUCCGUGGAUCCUGGUGGCAGCAAAAGACAACAGAAGAUAUAAUGGAUAAUGACUUGGGAUUAAAAAGAUCAGAACAGAUAAGGUUAAUAUAGCAUAUAUAACGAGAUUUAUAAAUUAGUUGAAUUUAUGUUUUGCUAAGUUGAUUUUAGUAUUGGAUUGUUUUAGUUAGUUUGUUGGCCUCAAAGAGAGCUCCAGAGCUUCCAAAAAUAUUUAAAAAAUUACCCCAGUUUAUUUUGUUGUAUUUACCAAUGAGCAACAAUAGUUCUUAAAAUCAUUUUUAAACCCCAAACUUAAUUAAAUCAGUUAAUUGCACCGAAAUCGUUGUGUGAAUCACGACGUCAAAAACACGGACAUCUUUUGCCCUCAUCCUUGCCCCAAAUCCAAAAACGAACAUUUUUUUUUGCUUAUUUUUAUGACUCUAUGAAUGCAACAAUGCUUUGGCUAUUAGAGUGUCUUAGUUUCUUAAAUUAUAUCCAAAUAUAAGAGCAAUCACCUCACUCUUCUGUCUAAGACGGCUUCCACCCUAGCAGCGGUAGGUGGCGAUAUUACACUGGUGAAGAGGAAUCCGAUGAAUCAAGGUUUUUUAUACAUUAUACAUGGAUAGUAGUGAGGAACUUAGCUAUGAAGAAGAAGAGGAGGUUUUAUUUUGGGAUGAUGUAAUUCUUGAAGAUGACAACAUUGACAAGGAAGAUUAUGAGUUUGAAGACAAGGAUGAACAUGCAUUAGAAGAAAUUGUGUGCAUCGAAAUAGUGUAUGACAUCGAGUAGGUUGAAGAGCAAGAAUUGUUCUUAAAUGAAGUCAUUGAAAGCUCAUAUACAUAUAAGGAUGAUGUCUAUGAAAAUGAACCUGGUUUGAUGGAAAGGGAAAUUUCUAUAUAGGGUGAUUCUGGAGAUGUAACAGUGUUAGAGCAAGAAGUAAAUUUAGAUGAACGCCGCUGCAUUAUGUUGAAGUAGCAAAUCCUGGACACUAGUUUCGACAACUUGACAACACAUGAUUUUGUGAAGCACACUUUCUGUGAUUUGGAUUUGGCUUUCGAGUUUUAUAACAAAUAUGCAAAGUCUCGGGGUUUUUAUGCUAGGAAAAGCAAAAGUAGAUGGUUAAAGAGCGGCCAACUCAUGAUGAAAACGUUUGAUACCGAGAGGGAGUCGGAGAGAAAAAGUAUUAUAGUAGGGAGAAUCAUAAGCAAGAGGGCGGCUGCAAUGCUCGUGUGCAGUUACAAUCCCAUGUUGAUAGUUUCAGAUGGGUUGUUACCCCUUUUUGUGAUCAACACAACCACAAAUAUCUUGAUCCUCGGAAUACUAGAAUGCUGCAUAGCCAUAGGAAAGUUCCUGAUGUAGAUAUGGCUCAUAUCAAAAACUUCAGGGAUGGCGGCUUAGGACCUAAAAUUUUUGGGCUACUGGCAAGUCAGUCAAAAGAUUAUGAAAAUGUUGGGUAUGGGUUACGAGACAUCCACAAUAAAAUUUCAAAACAGAGGCGCCAAAGCCUUGGUGAUGCUGCCACACAGUUCUUGCGAUGUUUGAAAAAAUGAAGGACCCAACUCUUUUCUAUAGGCACUUGAAGGACAAUAAAAACCAAUUGACAAAUCUAUUUUGGUGUGAUGAGUGAAGUAGGGAAGAGUAAAAGAUUUUUGGAGAUGUUAUUGCAUUUGAUGCAACACAUAAAAAUAAUCGCUACUAUUGCCCUGUCGUUGUAUUUUUCGGGGUAAAUCAUCACAACCAGUCGAUUGUGACACUAGAUACCACUAAUCUUAUUGGACGGCAUUUUAGAAGAGUUCAAUGUUUUUGGUAAUAUUUGAUUGGAUUAUUUUCCUUCACAAACUCAUUUUAAUUUGCACUUCUUGCCCUAGGAUAGUUUAAUGUAUUGUUUGUUUUAUAAUUUUUGGCUGAAGUGCUUGUUCGUAUAGAGAAUUUUGAGGCAAACGGGAAAGACCUAUCAAAACCUGUGUCCAAAAGAACCAAUCAGCUACACAAUAUAAUAUUAAAUGGCAAUAUUUAACCUUUAAUUUGUAUUUCUUAGUAAGAAAGUUUUUUCAAGGAUCCUUAGUUGCAUGGUAAUAAGACUGUGGGUACA
Arachis duranensis is the source of this 2415-nucleotide RNA transcript. RefSeq lists it as uncharacterized. The transcript is spliced from 3 exons. The record is from RefSeq and is a predicted model, not a curated record. Lineage: Eukaryota; Viridiplantae; Streptophyta; Magnoliopsida; Fabales; Fabaceae.